This 407-nucleotide ribosomal RNA is filed under the name uncultured bacterium. Its description in RNAcentral is "partial 16S ribosomal RNA". It matches the Rfam family "Bacterial small subunit ribosomal RNA", at positions 30 to 526 of the family's 1533-position model. The record is from RNAcentral.
AUUGAACGCUGGCGGCAGGCCUAACACAUGCAAGUCGAGCGGAGCGGCGGACGGGUGAGUAAUACCUAGGCAUCUGCCUGGUAGUGGGGGAUACCGUUCGGAACCGGACGCUAAUACCGCAUACUCUCAGAUGAGCCUAGGUCGGAUUAGCUAGUUGGUGAGGUAAUGGCUCACCAAGGCUACGAUCCGAAACUGGUCUGAGAGGAUGAUCAGUCACACUGGAACGGAGACACGGUCCAGACUCAUACGGGAGGCAGCAGUGGGGAAUAUUAGACAAUGGGCGAAAGCCUGAUCGAGCCAUGCCGCGUGUAUGAAGAAGGCAUUCGGGUUGUAAAGUACUGUCAGCGGGGAGGAGGUACCCGCAGAAGAAGCACCGACUAACUCCGUGCCAGCAGCCGCGGUAAUAC